AAGGAGCGAGCCUAUGGUAAGCCUGUAAAAAUCUGGUUCUCGAAAAGGACAUCGGGCGUGGCUUAUUUACAGGCGUUAAACAUGGAGUACUUGAAUCAUAUAAUCUAUCGAUCGACUCAUUCUCAUUGACUGUGUCCGACUCCGAGCCUUGCUUGCAUUGGUUCUGAACUCUUUUAAAUGGAUCAAUGAUAUUUACGUCAUUUACAAUGAAUCAAAACAGUUUGCUAGGAGCCAACUUAAGAAGAACUUUGAUGUUGUCACCUGGUCAGCAAGAAAUUCCUCCCAAAGUUACUCAGGGGGCAGGAAACCGUGGUGAGAUGGAACUAGGUGUCAGCGAGAAG
This is a long non-coding RNA of Daphnia magna, 341 nucleotides long. RefSeq lists it as uncharacterized. The record is from RefSeq and is a predicted model, not a curated record. NCBI's taxonomy places the organism in Eukaryota, Metazoa, Arthropoda, Branchiopoda, Diplostraca, Daphniidae. The transcript has 3 exons.